Molecule: non-coding RNA, 63 nt
Organism: Rattus norvegicus (Norway rat)
Lineage: Eukaryota; Metazoa; Chordata; Mammalia; Rodentia; Muridae
Source: Rfam
GGGGAUUUGGCUCAGUGGUAGAGCGCUUGCCUAGGAAGCGCAAGGUCCUGGGUUCAGUCCCCA